This 893-nucleotide small RNA is filed under the name Pan troglodytes (chimpanzee). RNAcentral describes it as "retained intron". Lineage: Eukaryota; Metazoa; Chordata; Mammalia; Primates; Hominidae. The record is from RNAcentral.
CCAGGUGAGGUUUUCCAGUAGAAAAAAAUGUAGUGUCUAAAUUACGCUUGAAUAUAUGAAUAUGAAAGUAUUCCAAAAUAUUUUUUAUCAAAUGUGUUUAAUUCUCAGAGGAACUGACACCAUUGAUUUUGGCAACUCAGAAGCAGUUCAAUUACACACACAUCUGUGCUGGAGCAUCUGCCUUCGGAAAGAACCUUUUGCCCAGAGUAGCGGCCAAACUUGAGGUUGCCCCGAUUUCUGACAUCAUUGCAAUCAAGUCACCUGACACAUUUGUGAGAACUAUUUAUGCAGGAAAUGCUCUAUGUACAGUGAAGUGUGAUGAGAAAGUGAAAGUGUUUUCUGUCCGUGGAACAUCCUUUGAAGCUGCAGCAACAAGUGGCGGUAGUGCCAGUUCAGAAAAGGCAUCAAGUACUUCACCAGUGGAAAUAUCAGAGUGGCUUGACCAGAAAUUAACAAAAAGUGAUCGACCAGAGCUAACAGGUGCCAAAGUGGUGGUAUCUGGUGGUCGAGGCUUGAAGAGUGGAGAGAACUUUAAGUUGUUAUAUGACUUGGCAGAUCAACUACAUGCUGCAGUUGGUGCUUCCCGUGCCGCUGUUGAUGCUGGCUUUGUUCCCAAUGACAUGCAAGUUGGACAGACGGGAAAAAUAGUAGCACCAGUAAGUAUUGCAAUAAAAUAUGCUGUGUAAAAUGUUAUGGGGGAUAAGUACUGUAUGUAUUUGUUGAACAGUGAUCUCAGUGAUUUACCUUACUCAGUGUUCCUGAGCAGUUAGCCAGUACCAUGGUGAAUAUGUCAUUUUCACAAGGUCUGUGUAGUUCUUUGUCUCAGUAAAAUGCCCAGCAGUUCUUAAAUCCAGCUUAUUUUUCAAGUAUUUUAAAGCAGUGGAACAUUUUAU